RNAcentral lists this transfer RNA (71 nucleotides) under Rhodococcus (subgen. Prescottella) equi. RNAcentral describes it as "Rhodococcus hoagii tRNA-Val". It matches the Rfam family "tRNA". From Rfam's summary of the family: Transfer RNA (tRNA) molecules are approximately 80 nucleotides in length. Their secondary structure includes four short double-helical elements and three loops (D, anti-codon, and T loops). Lineage: Bacteria; Bacillati; Actinomycetota; Actinomycetes; Mycobacteriales; Nocardiaceae. The record is from RNAcentral.
GGGCGUGUAGCUCAGUGGUAGAGCUCUGGUUUUACACACCAGCGUCGGGGGUUCGAAACCCUCCGCGCCCA